AAAGUAUUCGUUAAAAAAAAAGUUCUCGUCCGGUCACUGUAGUUAAGCAACGUUGGGCAUGGUUAGUACUUGGAUGGAUGACCGCUUGGGAACACCGUGUACUGUU
Molecule: ribosomal RNA, 106 nt
Filed under: Harpegnathos saltator (Jerdon's jumping ant)
Lineage: Eukaryota; Metazoa; Arthropoda; Insecta; Hymenoptera; Formicidae
Source: RNAcentral